RNAcentral lists this unclassified non-coding RNA (277 nucleotides) under Hevea brasiliensis (rubber tree). The record is from RNAcentral. Lineage: Eukaryota; Viridiplantae; Streptophyta; Magnoliopsida; Malpighiales; Euphorbiaceae.
UGGGUGGCUCAUUAAGUGGGAGUAGAAUGUAUUAUCAGGCUCAAUAGGAUCGAUCAAGAGAAAGCAUUUUCCACCUGAUCUCACCGAGCACUAUUCACCUUGUUCCAAUUAGGCACCCCACUGAUGUCGUCCAAUAAUGGCGAAUGUUCAGCAAACAACCCCUUUUUCACCUUCUUGAUAAAUGCAAUGCAAGAAAGGUACAUGAACUCUUUCGAAAAAUUUUCCAAAAUAUCUUCGUUGUGAAUUGACUUGGGCUUCAUAUACUUGUGAUCAAUCA